This 49-nucleotide non-coding RNA is filed under the name Ixodes scapularis (black-legged tick). RNAcentral describes it as "Guanidine-II sequence". It matches the Rfam family "Guanidine-II riboswitch aptamer (mini-ykkC)". Rfam says of the family: Simpler in structure and has fewer highly conserved nucleotide positions than the ykkC-yxkD leader. Despite this each of its two stem-loop structures directly bind free guanidine. Lineage: Eukaryota; Metazoa; Arthropoda; Arachnida; Ixodida; Ixodidae. The record is from Rfam by way of RNAcentral.
CCUCGAGGACGACCUCAAGGUCGACGCCUAGAGGACGAGGACGACCUCA